AAGUCGUAACAAGGUCUCCGUAGGUGAACCUGCGGAGGGAUCAUUAUAGAAAACAUAGCUAUAACAAUUGUGACAGGAAGAGGGGGGAGGAGGUCAAUUUUUUUGGGAUUGGUUUUGUUUCUCUUUUUCCUGGACACAAACAAACAAACAACACACAUGACUAGGAAAUGGAAAAGUGAAGUGGUGGGAAUGUGAGGGAGAGAAGCGGCUUGGCUGGCUUGGCUUGCUUGAGUCGGAUCUUCCCACACACGCACACACACACACAAGUUCUUGUCUGAUAAGUAGCUUAGUGAUUUGGGCAAGUUACUACAACUCAAUACAACUUUCAACAACGGAUCUCUUGGCUCUCA
Molecule: unclassified non-coding RNA, 350 nt
Filed under: fungal sp.
Lineage: Eukaryota; Fungi
Description: partial internal transcribed spacer region
Rfam family: Eukaryotic small subunit ribosomal RNA (bases 1-46)
Source: RNAcentral